RNAcentral lists this long non-coding RNA (2301 nucleotides) under Anolis carolinensis (green anole). RNAcentral describes it as "lncRNA (ENSACAG00000038626.1)". Lineage: Eukaryota; Metazoa; Chordata; Lepidosauria; Squamata; Anolidae. The record is from RNAcentral.
CAGCAGUUUUGACCCGUUUCUUCCAUCUUUAUUCCCAGCACUCAGUUGGUAUCCGGAGGGAUGCGUUUGCUCCAGGACAUCCCUGCGUUGCCAAGCUCAGGACUUCCUCGCUGUUCCUCAAGGUUUAUCCAAUGUGACGGAGCUGGAUUUGAAUCAAAAUAAAAUCUCUUCCCUGCUGGACUACCAAUUCAUUGACAACAAAGGGCUGGAGUAUCUCUUCUUAAAAGACAAUGGGAUCCAGACGAUAUCCAAGACCGCCUUUUCUGGACUCUCCAAACUCCGGAGGCUGUGAGUAGGAUGUUUUCCGUGUCAAAAUGGGGAAAUGUGCUAUAGCAUGACAAAAUUUUGGCAAUUUAAUAAAAAAAUUGCAUGUUAUUAUGAUAGAAAAAAUUAGGAAAUGGCAUUGAUAACCCAGGAACACACUGUAAUUAGCAAAGCAAUGCAUUAAGCCUUUAAGGCCGAUACUAGAUUAGGACAAUAGCACAGCAUCAUCUGCAUAUAAGAAUAAGGGAAUAAUAAUAAUAAUAAUAAUAAUAAUAAUAAUAAUAAUAAUAAUAGUAAUUCACACUUUCUUGGUUUCUUUCAGAUAUCUGAGCUCUAACUCCAUCACAGAUCUGGAGCUUGGCGUUUUCCAGGAUUUACAAAACCUCAAAUGGCUAAUCCUGGACAACAACCGAUUGGCCCAGAUCUUCCCGUCUGUCUUUAUGGGACUGAAAUCUCUGGUGUUUCUGUAAGUAUAGAAUCAGAUCCUUAUUGUUGUUGUUGUUAUCGUUACAAUUUCGUCAUCCUUACGUAUAGGGCAAUUUGCCUCUUGCUUUGUGUUUCCAUCCAGGGACCUUCGCGGCAACUUUUUGCAAGAAAUGCCCGGGGCUUCCAUCUGUGCGGAAACGCCGAAGCUCAAUUGGCUGUAAGUUUCCCCUUCUUGUUGCAUUUAUCCGGCCCCUUAUUGCCUUUCUUGCAAUCGAGGAAAUGCAGAAAAGCCUUGAUGAAGGAACGCAAAGAACAGUGACAUAUUCUCAUGCAAAUAAUUGUCCCUCUGCAAAUUAUUAUUUGAUUUAAUUUAUUAUUAAUUAAACAAGUCAUUAUUAUAAUCAUAUUAUCAAUUAUUAAUGUGUUGAUGAUUAAUUAUGAUUAAAUUCAUAAUUAUUUCUCUGCAAAUCUAAUUAUUUGCAGAGGAUGAUAAAAUAUCACUAUUCUUCGCAUUGUGAUGGGAGUUUCAGCCCAUUGAGAGAUAUUUUUUUGGCUGCCGUAAAAUUGUUCACAUAUCAACACACUUUGUGAAAAAUUCCGUAAAAGAGAGUGCUUUGAUUUUGGGGGGGGGGGGGCAAAUUACAUAUCCUUUGCUUAAAAAAAAUGAAAACAAUGAUGAUGAUGAUGAUGAUGAUGAUGAUGAUGAUGAUGAUGAUGAUGAUGAUGAUGAUGGUUAUGAUGUAUUGUUAGGACUCAGCCCCACAGAUUUUAAGGUUAGGAAGAAGGGAUGUGACAUGACUCCGGUCUCCAUUUUCCUUCAGGGAUCUUGAAGGAAACCACAUCCGUUCUCUGCAACGUUCGGACUUCCGGGGUUGCGGCGAGAUCACUGUUUUGUGAGUGUGUUUCUCCUUCCUUUCCUUGUAACCAGGAAAAAUGUUCUGGGAAAAUAUAGGAUCUGAGUCUGGGAAAUAUAGGAUCUGGUUUCUUCUGUGUUGAGUACAGUGGGAGGUCUACAAGGUUGAGUCUUUAUAUGGCUCUGGAGCAUCACAACCACCAUCUACUAAUUCUCUACCAGAAGGUCCAUUUUGGAGGAUAAACUUAGAAAUAUAGGUUCUUGGAAAUAUGCUUAAAAAUAUAGGAUCUGUAUAGAGUACAGUGCAAGGUCUACAAAACUGAGUCUUUAUAUGGGUAGGGAGCAUCAUAACCACCAUCUUCUAGCUCUCUACCAACCAAAAGAGGUCCAUUUGCGUUGGAUAAACCCUUACCUUGUGCUUAGAAAAAUAGGAUCUCACCUUGGGAAGUAUGGGAUUGAGUUUCAUCUGUAUGGAGUUCAAUGUGAGACCUACAAAGGGGUGUGUGUGUCUUCAUAUGGUUAUGGAACAUCACAACUACCAUCUCCACCUUCUUCUAGCUCUCUACCAACCAAAUGAGGUCCAUUUGGGGGGAUAAACAUUUACCUUGUGCUAUAGGUUCUGAUUGCUUCUGUCGUUUCUUCUCUGUGGAGGUCAAUGAGAGGUCCACAGGAUUGGAGAUGAGCUGUUGUGAAGGCUAUCAAGUGAUGUCCAACUCUAUGGUCCUCUCCUUGAUCUCCAGACAGAAGAAACCACCAGC